CUGUGACAGUGUUAGUUCCUAGUUGAACUAGAUUUGAACCAGUACUUGGGUUAACUUGAGAAUCUACACUUUUCCCCCCCUCUUGUUGCGCUUUCAUUUGCAAAAAUCUAGCCUUAUCUCUAGGGUGUAAUUUUAUAUGCUUAGUCAAACUACCCGUGCCGCUACGGUCUCCAGUAUACCUAUGAACAAGUAAUUUCCCACAAGUUUUACACUUAUC
This 217-nucleotide long non-coding RNA is filed under the name Nicotiana benthamiana. Its description in RNAcentral is "long non-coding RNA (NBEN_LNC016134)". The record is from RNAcentral. Lineage: Eukaryota; Viridiplantae; Streptophyta; Magnoliopsida; Solanales; Solanaceae.